This 370-nucleotide ribosomal RNA is filed under the name uncultured Gammaproteobacteria bacterium. RNAcentral describes it as "bacterial SSU rRNA". It matches the Rfam family "Bacterial small subunit ribosomal RNA", at positions 164 to 529 of the family's 1533-position model. The record is from RNAcentral. Lineage: Bacteria; Pseudomonadati; Pseudomonadota; Gammaproteobacteria.
UAAUACCGCAUACGCCCUACGGGGGAAAGCGGGGGACUUUCGGGCCUCGCGCUGAUGGAUGAGCCUGCGUCGGAUUAGCUUGUUGGUGAGGUAACGGCUCACCAAGGCGACGAUCCGUAGCUGGUCUGAGAGGAUGAUCAGCCACACUGGGACUGAGACACGGCCCAGACUCCUACGGGAGGCAGCAGUGGGGAAUAUUGCACAAUGGGCGAAAGCCUGAUGCAGCCAUACCGCGUGGGUGAAGAAGGCCUUAGGGUUGUAAAGCCCUUUCAGUUGGGAAGAAAAGGUCGGGGAUAAUACCCCCGGUUCUUGACGGUACUUACAGAAAAAGCACCGGCUAACUCAGUGCCAGCAGCCGCGGUAAUACUGA